Molecule: ribosomal RNA, 336 nt
Filed under: Triticum aestivum (bread wheat)
Lineage: Eukaryota; Viridiplantae; Streptophyta; Magnoliopsida; Poales; Poaceae
Description: partial small subunit ribosomal RNA
Source: RNAcentral
AUGGUUGUCAUAGUCACAGUGGUUGUCCACCUGCCGCAUAAGAAACUCAUUCAACCUGAGUUCUUGUGUGGUUGCGGUAGACCUGCAGCUUCUAGGAAGUGUUUAGGUGGAGAACACAAUGGUCGAAUGUUCUACAGGUGCGGGAACGGAUGGGUUGAAAAUAGUGAUGGUUUGAAUGAAAAACUCUGGUGGAAACGGCACCUUGGUUGUGAAGUUUUUGUUUGGGAAGAUGUCAUUCAGAAGUUUGCGGAGACAGUGUUUGAGUACAAUCAACUUGGUGAAGAUGAGUUAGAGUCGGAGAUAAUUGGAACAAUUGGAGCUCGGACUUCCAACUAG